CCUACGGGGGGCAGCAGUGGGGAAUAUUGCGCAAUGGGCGAAAGCCUGACGCAGCGACGCCGCGUGAGGGAUGAAGGUCUUCGGAUCGUAAACCUCUGUCAGCAGGGAAGAACGGUCACUGUGCUAAUCAGCAGUGAAUUGACGGUACCUGCAAAGGAAGCACCGGCUAACUCCGUGCCAGCAGCCGCGGUAAUACGGAGGGUGCGAGCGUUAUUCGGAAUUACUGGGCGUAAAGCGCUCGUAGGCGGUAUGUCAAGUCAAGGGUGAAAUCCCCGCGCUCAACGUGGGAACUGCCUUUGAAACUGGCAAACUGGAGUGUGUGAGAGGAUAGUGGAAUGCCAGGUGUAGGGGUGAAAUGCGUAGAUAUCUGGAGGAACAUCAGUGGCGAAGGCGACUAUCUGGCACAUAACUGACGCUGAGGAGCGAAAGCGUGGGUAGCAAACAGGAUUAGAUACCCUAGUAGUC
Molecule: ribosomal RNA, 465 nt
Filed under: uncultured bacterium
Lineage: Bacteria
Description: partial 16S ribosomal RNA
Rfam family: Bacterial small subunit ribosomal RNA
Source: RNAcentral